AACGCGAAGAACCUUACCAGGGUUUGACAUGCAUGCGCACCACCGAGAGAUCGGUGUGCCCGCAAGGGACGCAUGCACAGGUGCUGCAUGGCUGUCGUCAGCUCGUGCCGUGAGGUGUUGGGUUAAGUCCCGCAACGAGCGCAACCCUCAUCGUCGGUUGUAUGUUUCCGACGAGACUGCCACGAUGAACGUGGAGGAAGGUGGGGAUGACGUCAAGUCAGCACGGCCCUUACGUCCUGGGCGACACACACGCUACAAUGGCCGAGACAACGGGAUGCCAACCCGCGAGGGGGAGCCGAUCCCAGCAAACUCGGUCUCAGUUCGGAUUGCAGGCUGCAACUCGCCUGCAUGAAGUCGGAGUUGCUAGUAACCGUGAGUCAGCACAUCACGGUGAAUCCGUUCCCGGGCCUUGUACACACCGCGUGUCU
Molecule: ribosomal RNA, 428 nt
Filed under: uncultured bacterium
Lineage: Bacteria
Description: bacterial SSU rRNA
Rfam family: Bacterial small subunit ribosomal RNA
Source: RNAcentral